UCUGGCCUAGGGGACAGUGGUUAAAUCCCGCCACUGACUGAACCGGUCCAUUGUCAGGGAGCACGUAUGUAUUAGCAGAACUGUAGACAUGUGAUCUGGGGAACUAGAGACUGUGUUUCGUCUGGCAAUAAACCUGGCCGGGUGCCUUCGUGCCUUAUCGGCGUCUGCGGUCCUCGGGGUCUGGUGUGCCAGCGAUCUGCGCAGAGCCCGGGCAGCACGCAGGGGGAACACACGCACCCAGCCGCCUGUUAUCAACAACGGACAGAGCAGAGCACCACACCGGUGACGUCUGACGACAUUGGUGACCCCGACCGCUGAUCUGAUAAAGCAGGAAAACAAAAAAUUGGAGACAGCUGUGGCGAACCGGCAGAAGAACAAGACACCGUCCCCUGUUGCUCAACAGACGUGGAGUGCUUUUCCAGUCCCUGAAGGGUCGGGGCAGAAGUGGAAACAGAUGCCCCGGCUAACUUAAAAGCGGGAACAGGGGACAACUGGAAUGGAGGCUGCCCUGGGGACAUGUGGAAUGACCCAGCUGGACCAUCCUCUCUUGACCCGUGGGCAGCGGUCACCACACCCCAACUGCCACCUGAUGCUGAGAACCAGGUGGGGGCUGCCACACAGCAUCGAUUCUGACAAUGGUCCCGCUUUUAUCGGCCAGGUGUACCGAAAUAUGGGGACCUGGGCCGGGAUUCCCCUACCAUCACACCUGUGCCCCCUGC
Chrysemys picta bellii (western painted turtle) is the source of this 719-nucleotide non-coding RNA. NCBI's taxonomy places the organism in Eukaryota, Metazoa, Chordata, Testudines, Emydidae. The record is from RefSeq and is a predicted model, not a curated record.